Molecule: long non-coding RNA, 347 nt
Filed under: Gallus gallus (chicken)
Lineage: Eukaryota; Metazoa; Chordata; Aves; Galliformes; Phasianidae
Source: RNAcentral
UCUCUCGUUUGAUUUCAUCUGUUGCAUUUACCUGUCCUAUUCCAGGACUGAAUCUUUCUCCAACAAUCAUUAUGAUGAGGUACAGCAUCUCCUCUAUAAGAGUAUUAUUUUGUUGAACAACAUCCUUGUUAGUAUUUUCUGUGCUAAACCUUUUGCCAUAGUCUGGAGUACUAAAUAUCUGAUAAAGUUCAAAGCGACUCAGCAUUAUCAUCAGGAAGUGGUUUGGAUCCAUCAUCGACACACCUGUCUGAAGCAUUACUAUGUCCUUGUCAAACAUCUCUCUCCUGCACUUCACAUUAUGAUAGUAAUAAAUCUGAUUAACAAGAGAGAAGCCAUUUCUCCUCCAC